This 296-nucleotide signal recognition particle RNA is filed under the name Macaca fascicularis (crab-eating macaque). Its description in RNAcentral is "Metazoan signal recognition particle RNA (ENSMFAG00000059303.1)". It matches the Rfam family "Metazoan signal recognition particle RNA". Rfam says of the family: The signal recognition particle (SRP) is a universally conserved ribonucleoprotein. It is involved in the co-translational targeting of proteins to membranes. The eukaryotic SRP consists of a 300-nucleotide 7S RNA and six proteins: SRPs 72, 68, 54, 19, 14, and 9. Lineage: Eukaryota; Metazoa; Chordata; Mammalia; Primates; Cercopithecidae. The record is from Rfam by way of RNAcentral.
GCCGGGCGAGGUGAUGCGCCUGUAGUCCCAGCUACUCGGGAGGCUGAGGCAGGAGAAUGGCGUGAACCCGGGAGGUGGAGCUUGCAGUGAGCUGAGAUCUGGCCACUGCACUCCAGCGAGACUGGAGUGAGACUCCGUCUCAAAACAAACAAACAAACAACAAAAAAACCAAAUAUAGGCUUUUUUUUUUUUUUUGAGAUGGAGUCUUGCUCUGUAGCCCAGGCUGGAGUGCAGUGGUGCGAUCUCGGCUCACUGCAAGCUCCACCUCCCGGGUUCAUGCCAUUCUCCUGCCUCAG